Molecule: long non-coding RNA, 2086 nt
Filed under: Homo sapiens (human)
Lineage: Eukaryota; Metazoa; Chordata; Mammalia; Primates; Hominidae
Description: non-protein coding lnc-FDX1-1:1
Source: RNAcentral
GUUCUUAGAGCUCCCGAGAUGGUGGCGGCCGGCUCCCAAGGUGGCAGCAAGACUUUUGUUCUCUGACCUGGGGUUCUUGGCCUCCUGGAUUCCAAAGAAUGGAACCUUGGGGCCAUGCGAUUACUGGUGUGAUUACUGUCUCCUGACUGGACCCUGACUGCUAUAGAAUUGACGGAGUCUCACUCAGUCAUCCAGGCUGGAGUGCAGUGGCACAAUCUCAGCUCGCUACAACCUCUGCCUCCCGGGUUCGAAGUGAUUCUCCUGCCUCAGCCUCCUGAGUGGUUGGGAUUACAGGCAUGGCCUACCAUGCUCUGCUUUUUUUUUGAGACAGAGUUUUGCUCUUGUUGCCCAAGGAGUGCAAUGGCAUGAUCUCGGCUCACUGCAACCUCCGCCUCUCAGGUUCAAGCAAUUCUCCUGCCUCAGGCUCCCGAGUAGCUGGAAUUACAGAUAAAUAUGCUGAGGCAUGUUUUCAAGGAGGGGAGAGAGAUUCCUUUUCCUCAGCCGGGCACAGAGCCAACCUGAAGUGUAGCACUGUGGUGACCUGGCGGGAUCUGCUCUCCAGUCACUCCCGAGGGCCCUUCUGGGGACAAGGAGACUUUUCUGUGCGGCCUGUUGAUUUGAUAGAGAUGAUGUCUUGCCACAUUGCCCAGGCUGGUCUCAAACUCCAGGCCUAAAGGGAUCUUCUGACUUUGGCCUCCCAAAGUGCUGAGAUUAUAGGAUCGAGGCUAUCAAGCUACAGAUGAUCUUACAAAUGGAACCCCAAAUGAGCUCAACUAACAACUACCAAGGACCCCUGGACCAACCCGCUGGCCCUUUCAAUGGCCUAAAGAGUUCCCCUCUGGAGGACACUACAACUGCAGGGUCCUUUCUUUGCCCCUAUCCAGCAGGAAGUAGCUAGAGUGGUCAUCACCCAAUUCCCAACAGCAGUUGGGGUGUCUUGUUAAGUGGGGAGAUUGAGAGGUGAAGCCAGCUGGGCUUCUGGGUUGGGUGGGGACUUGGAGAACUUUUCUGUCUAGCUAGAGGAUUGUAAACACACCAAUCAGUGCUAUGUGUCUAGCUAGAGGUUUGUAAAUGCACCAAUCAGCACUCUGUAAAAACGGACCAAUCAGCACUCUGUAAAAUGGACCAAUCAGUAGGAUGCGGGCAGGGCCAAAUAAGGGAAUAAAAGCUGGCCACCUGAGUCAGCAGUGGCAACCCACUCGGGUCCCCUUCCAUGCUGUGGAAGCUUUGUUCUUUCACUCUUCACAAUAAAUCUUGCUGCUGCUCACUCUUUGGGUCCACACCACCUUUAUGAGCUGCAACACUCACUGCGAAGGUCUUCAGCUUCACUCCUGAAGUCAGCGAGACCACGAACCCAUGGGGAGGAACAAUCGACUUCAGACAUGCCACCUUUAAGAGCUGUAACACUCACUGCGAAGGUCUGUGGCUUCACUCCUGAAGUCAGCAAGACCACGAACCCACUGGAAGGAAGAAAUUUCGGACACAUCUGAACAUCUGAAUGAACAAACUCUGGACACGCCAUCUUUAAGAACUGUAACACUCACUGUGAGGGUUCAUGGGUUCAUUCUUGAAGUCAGCAAGACCAAGAACCCACCAGAAGGAACCAAUUCCGGACACAGACUCACUGCAACCUCCACCUCCUGGAUUCAAGUGAUUCUCCUGCCUCAGCCUCCGGAGUAGCUGUGCCUACAGGCACAAGCCACCACACACGGCUAAUUUUUUGUAUUUUUAGUAGAGAUGGGGUUUCACCAUGUUGCUCAGGCUGGUCUCCAACUCCUGAGCUCAAGUGAUCCACCUGUCUCGGCCUCCCAAAGUGUUGGGAUACAUGUGUGAGCCACUGUGCCCGGCCUCCUCUGGAUUAGUUCUUACAGGAAUAGAUUAGUUCUUGCUCGAGCAAGUUGUUAUAAAAGUGAGGUUGCCUCUAGUGUUUUGCAUCCUCACAUAUGUCUGCUUACCUCUUGACCUCUCUCUGUGUUAUGACCCAGCACAAAAGCCCUUACCAGAAGCCAAGCAGAUGCUGAUGCCACACCCCUUGGACUUCUCAGUCUACAGAGCCAUGAAACGAAUAAACCUCUCUUUAUAAAUU